GGGGCCGACCGGUAUCGACAGCAAGACGGAUCAAUAAAUAAGCAAGUCGAGCAUUGAGUGAGUAGCUCGUUAAUCAUAACACUAAACUUGUCUAAACGACAACAAUAAUUACGCGCUUGCAGCGUAACACUCGAUAGAGGUUACAAUUAAUUCCGAGACUAGGUCUUGGAACAAGCAUUCCUCUCAGGGGUUCGGCUCAUUAAUUCCCUGGCUAAGAGGAUUCGAAAUUUUGAGCUAGUCAAUUAGGAACCUAGACUGGUUGGCGAAAUUAAUAGGAUAAGGUAUAAGUCGGAUGUUUGUAACCAGCUUGUAUUCGAAAAAUAAUAAUAAACUAAACUUGUAGAAAAUUUAUUUAUUCCUUGUUUGGACGAGAGUUCGAAUCUCUCCGGCUCCACAA
Molecule: transfer-messenger RNA, 397 nt
Filed under: Flavobacteriales bacterium
Lineage: Bacteria; Pseudomonadati; Bacteroidota; Flavobacteriia; Flavobacteriales
Also listed under: 1 other name
Rfam family: transfer-messenger RNA
About the family: Bacterial tmRNA, also known as 10Sa RNA or SsrA, is named for its dual tRNA and mRNA-like properties.
Source: RNAcentral